AAAGAGUUUGAUCCUGGCUCAGGAUUAAUGCUGGCGAGAUGCAUAACACAUGCAAGUCGAGCGUGAUAAAAUAAGAGCUUGCUCAAGUUUUUGAAAGCGGCGGACGGCUGAGUAAUAUGUUGGAACUUGCCUCGAACUCAGGGAUAGCCUGUGGAAACGCAGAUUAAUACCGGAUGGUCCCGUAAGGGUAAAGCGCUUAGCGGUUCGAGAGAGGCCUGCAUCCCAUUAGCUAGUUGGUAGUGUAAUGGACUACCAAGGCUAUGAUGGGUACCUGGUGUGAGAGCAUGACCAGGCAGAGUGGGACUGAGACACGGCCCACACUCCUACGGGAGGCAGCAGUGAGGAAUUUUUCGCAAUGGGGGGAACCCUGACGAAGCAAUCUCGCGUGCAGGAUGACACCUUUCGGGGCGUAAACUGCUUUUAUGAGGGAAGAAGAUCUGACGGUACCUCAUGAAUAAGGGACGGCUAACUACGUGCCAGCAGCCGCGGUAAUACGUAGGUCCCAAGCAUUAUCCGAAAUUACUGGGCGUAAAGCGAUCAAAGGCGGCGUAAUAAGUCUGAUGUUAAAGCCCUCGGCUCAACCGAGGAAUCGUAUCGGAAACUGUUAUGCUAGAGAUAUGUAGAGGUAGCUGGAAUUUCUAUUGUAGGGGUUAAAUCCGUAGAUAAUAGAAGGAACACCAAAAGCGAAGGCAGGCUACUGGGCAUUUUCUGACGCUGCUUGAUCGAAAGCGUGGGGAGCGAAACGGAUUAGAUACCCGUGUAGUCCACGCCCUAAACGAUGAAUACUCGGUGUUCGGAGGUUUCAAAUCCCUCUGAGUGCCUAAGCUAACGCAUUAAGUAUUCCGCCUGGGGACUACGGUCGCAAGAUUAAAACUCAAAGGAAUAGACGGGGAUCUACACAAGCGGUGGAGCAUCUGGUUUAAUUCGACAAUAAGCGGGGAACCUUACCGGGGCUUGACAUCCUGAGAAUCUUCUGGAAACAGAGGAGUGCCGCAAGGAGCUCAGUGACAGGUGCUGCAUGGUUGUCGUCAGCUCGUGCUUUGAAGUGUUCGGUUAAGUCCGUUAACGAGCGCAACCCUCGUCGUAUGUUGUUCAUUUCAUACGAGACUGCCAGGUUUAACCUGGAGGAAGGUGAGGACGACGUCAAAUCAGCAUGGCCCUUAUGUCCCGGGCGACACAGGUGCUACAAUGGAAAGUACAAUGCGCAGCCAACCCGCAAGGGGGAGCGAAUCGCACCAAAACUUUUCUCAGUUCGGAUUGUGGUCUGCAACUCGACCAUAUGAAGUUGGAAUCGCUAGUAAUCGUGCAUCAGCCUUGGCACGGUGAAUAUGUUCCUAGAUCUUGUACUCACCGCCCGUCAAACCACGAAAGGUGGGGGUACCCGAAGUCGCGUUAUCCAUUCAGGAGCGUGCCUAAGGUAAAACUACUAAUUGGGGUUAAGUCGUAACAAGGUAUCCGUACGGGAAUGUGCGGAUGGACUACCUCCUU
This 1488-nucleotide ribosomal RNA is filed under the name uncultured bacterium. RNAcentral's name for it is "bacterial SSU rRNA". It matches the Rfam family "Bacterial small subunit ribosomal RNA". The record is from RNAcentral.